Molecule: long non-coding RNA, 1649 nt
Organism: Bicyclus anynana (squinting bush brown)
Lineage: Eukaryota; Metazoa; Arthropoda; Insecta; Lepidoptera; Nymphalidae
Exons: 6
Source: RefSeq, a predicted model, not a curated record
CAGGGUCAUUAUGUAACUCGGUGAACGCUUUAAAAUCACAGUCACGACAACAAAUGACAGCGAUUUUUCGUUUUUGCGAUCAUGUAACACACAUCUCCCACCGAAAUGACGUCAUCUUGGAUCGUUCUCUGUCACGGUCACUUGUAGGGAUUUAUCCAAGUUAUAACGCAGUUUUUACGUAUCGAUAGUCAGUUUAAGCGAUUAUUGUUUACCGACAUUGCCAUGUACAAUACAAUGCAUGUAGCAUUUGUAUUGUACGCGGAAACGGAACGAAAAAGAUGUCUUUGUCGAGUUCAUUGCAAAACUUUCGUGUCGCGAAACCAGCAGGUUUUAGAAGAAAUACAAAGUCUUCGAACAACUGCUGUUCGCAAUGAAUUAGAGAUAAGUCUUGGCAGCUUUAAACUUUUAUGCCAAUGGAUCAUACAAAUGGCUUUGUGAUGGCUAAGGCAUCUUUUAGCAAAUGCCUACAUGAAGUCGCUGACGCUCCUGAAUACCCCAGCUGUUUAAAAAAAAUGUGUUAAGUUCCCUUUGCAUUAAACACAAAAUCAUUAUAAAUAAAUAUGUGAUGCCAAUCUAAUAAUAACAUAGUGGAUGCUCAAUUUGGUGGUGCAUCUUAUGACUUGUACAUAUGGAACCAGUGCAAUAAGACCACUUGAGGAAAACCUGCCCAAUAGGGACCGCUGUUGGUUGUUAGGUGACCAAUGUUUGCAUGAUGACCCCCAUCUUGGGAGCUGCUCCUAGAUCCCAUGAAGAUAUGCACAACAUUGCUGUGUCAGAAAUACGGUGGAGCCUUGUAGUUGGGUGCAUAUUGUAAAAUGUUUCCUCACUCCAAAACCAUGAACUCUGGUUUCCUAAACCCUCAAGCUAUGCAGCCGAAGGAGGAGACUUAUCACAGGAGAAUCACUAAUAAUUUUGAAGAAGUGAAGAGCUUAACAAUGUUUCAACCAACACCAAAAGAAGCUUUCACUUGGCUGUUAGAUCAAGGGCUGGAUACAGAAAACAGUAAUCCUUGUGAUGGCAGUAUUGUCCAAGGAUUCCUCACUCAAAACCAUGAUAACAAGUUGCUAGAACCCUCAAGCUAUGCAGAUAAAGGACUGGAUAUAUUUUUUCGUGACCAAGCCUUCUGUAUAAUUAUUUAUACUUAAACCAUACAAAGCACUAUCUAGCCCCAAAGUAGGCAUACAGAGUAGCUUGUGUUGUGGGUACUAAGAUAGUUGAUAUUAUAAUAUUCAUUUACAUUUAUAUACUACCUAUAAAUACUUAUAUAAUGUAUAAAUACACACACACUGGAAAAAACCCAUGCUCUUCACACAAAUAUUUUCCAGGUGUGGGAAUCGAACCCAUGACCGUGGAUGCAGGAGCACUACUUACUGCGCCACGCGUAUGUGUUUUUAUUUUGAAGCAAAUUAUUAAAGUUGAUAAUUCAAAUUGUAGUCAUGUUUUUAAUUAAUCUAUAAUUAAUUUUUAAUUUACAUUUUUGUUAAAUAUUUACCUAUACUUCAGUCUAUUUUUGUUAGAGGGGGUACCUAUAUGUGUAAGUAGGGUCGUUUCUUGAUUAAAUUAAACUAAAGAAUGAAAGAUAUAUAUUAUAACAAAAUUUGUCAACAACAAUAUAUCAAGUCUGAAUAAAAAAUACCAACACAAGUAAA